Molecule: ribosomal RNA, 255 nt
Filed under: uncultured bacterium
Lineage: Bacteria
Description: partial 16S ribosomal RNA
Rfam family: Bacterial small subunit ribosomal RNA
Source: RNAcentral
UACGUAGGGUGCGAGCGUUUAAUCGGAAUUACUGGGCGUAAAGCGUGCGCAGGCGGUUAUUUAAGUCAGGUGUGAAAGCCCUGGGCUUAACCUAGGAAUUGCGCUUGAGACUGGAUAGCUUGGAGUGCGGCAGAGGGAGGUGGAAUUCCACGUGUAGCAGUGAAAUGCGUAGAGAUGUGGAGGAACACCGAUGGCGAAGGCAGCCCCCUGGGUCAAGAUUGACGCUCAUGCACGAAAGCGUGGGGAGCAAACAGG